Molecule: non-coding RNA, 72 nt
Organism: Camelus ferus (Wild Bactrian camel)
Lineage: Eukaryota; Metazoa; Chordata; Mammalia; Artiodactyla; Camelidae
Source: Rfam
GGAGGAUAGCUCAAGUGGUAGAGCACAUGCUUAGCAUGCACGAGGUCCUGGAUUCAAACCCCAGUACCUUCU